GGCCUCUUUUUGCUGCAUGAUGUAGAGGAGUCCCCGCAUGACGACCUGGACGAUAAGCAUCGACAUUGGCACCCAAUUCUAUCAAAGUUUUUGCAACAUUGUAAAGCCCCGGAUUCAUGCACGCCACAAUCAAUGGUGUCUUCCCUUCCUUAUCUAUCCACUCAAGUCCAGCGCCUUCACGGUGGAGAGAUUUGAUACCUUCAACAUUUCCAUAAUUAACUUGCUGAUACAGAAGCUCGCCUUUGGAUUGCUGCUGCCCCAUUGUAGAAGAUAAAAUUGAAGAAAAAUUAGCAAAAAUUUUC
This 302-nucleotide unclassified non-coding RNA is filed under the name Hevea brasiliensis (rubber tree). Lineage: Eukaryota; Viridiplantae; Streptophyta; Magnoliopsida; Malpighiales; Euphorbiaceae. The record is from RNAcentral.